UACGUAGGUGGCAAGCGUUGUCCGGAUUUACUGGGCGUAAAGAGCGUGCAGGCGGUCGGAUCAGUCGAAUGUGAAAGCCCCCGGCUCAACUGGGGAGGGUCAUUCGAUACUGUCCGACUCGAAGGCAGGAGAGGGAAGCGGAAUUCCCGGUGUAGUGGUGAAAUGCGUAGAUAUCGGGAGGAACACCAGUGGCGAAGGCGGCUUUCUGGCCUGUUCUUGACGCUGAGGCGCGAAAGCUAGGGGAGCGAACGGG
This 253-nucleotide ribosomal RNA is filed under the name uncultured bacterium. RNAcentral describes it as "partial 16S ribosomal RNA". It matches the Rfam family "Bacterial small subunit ribosomal RNA", at positions 524 to 776 of the family's 1533-position model. The record is from RNAcentral.